Molecule: ribosomal RNA, 517 nt
Filed under: uncultured Lachnospiraceae bacterium
Lineage: Bacteria; Bacillati; Bacillota; Clostridia; Lachnospirales; Lachnospiraceae
Description: bacterial SSU rRNA
Rfam family: Bacterial small subunit ribosomal RNA
Source: RNAcentral
GUGGGGGACAACAGUUGGAAACGACUGCUAAUACCGCAUAAGCCCACGGUACCGCAUGGUACUGAGGGAAAAGGAUUUAUUCGCUUUAGGAUGGACUCGCGUCCAAUUAGCUAGUUGGUGAGGUAACGGCCCACCAAGGCGACGAUUGGUAGCCGGACUGAGAGGUUGAACGGCCACAUUGGGACUGAGACACGGCCCAGACUCCUACGGGAGGCAGCAGUGGGGGAUAUUGCACAAUGGGGGAAACCCUGAUGCAGCGACGCCGCGUGGAGGAAGAAGGUUUUCGGAUUGUAAACUCCUGUCGUUAGGGACGAUAAUGACGGUACCUAACAAGAAAGCACCGGCUAACUACGUGCCAGCAGCCGCGGUAAAACGUAGGGUGCAAGCGUUGUCCGGAAUUACUGGGUGUAAAGGGAGCGCAGCGGGAAGACAAGUUGGAAGUGAAAACCAUGGGCUCAACCCAUGAAUUGCUUUCAAAACUGUUUUUCUUGAGUAGUGCAGAGGUAGAUGGAAUUCC